CAAGAUGUUUCACUGAGUCGACUCGACCGCCUCCACAUCCCAUCCCAAGUUAGAUUUUUGUUCUUCUUUUUUUUUUAUCAGUGUAAUGGAAUUGAUUAGUUGAAAAUCAUUCGGAUGUUCUCUGCGCAUCGCAAACGAGUAAUUUUAGUUUGUAUUGGAUGAAUUCAUUGUUAUGUGCUUUGAGACUGAUUCCAAUUUUUUUUUUUUUUUGGUUUCUCACUAGAGCCUAUUUGCUAAAAGGCUAGUUGCAAUGGCACCGUCGCGUAACGUCAUUGUAGCCACUGGUCUGGUUGUUUUCGCCUCUGCAGGCUUAGCUUUUCCCUUCUACCCCCGCUCUUCGUUUUUCUACUGUUUAAAAGCUUUUCUCGUCGUGUGGAAUGAUGUUUUUCCUUGUCUCAUUUGAUCGCAGAUCGUCCAAGAAACCAGUGAUUGAUCCAACAAAACCGUUACCUCCUCAAGCAACGUUUAGAGGACCUUACAUUAACACUGGUUCACGUGAUGUUGGUCCUGACGAUCUAUCUAAC
This 524-nucleotide long non-coding RNA is filed under the name Brassica rapa (field mustard). RNAcentral describes it as "long non-coding RNA (BRAP_LNC000868)". The record is from RNAcentral. Lineage: Eukaryota; Viridiplantae; Streptophyta; Magnoliopsida; Brassicales; Brassicaceae.